UGCUGGGGUUUUAAUUCUUUUAUAUUUGAAAAUUAAAUAGGUAUCCAAUAGAAAGCUAUUAUUAAAAUAUUUAAAUUGAAGACUAUAAUGUUAAAAGUAUUUUUAUAAAACUAUGUAAAAAUCAGUUUUAUAACUUUUUCUAGAUAAUUCUUUAGAGCAGAGAAGAAGCUGCGAACAUUCUGGAUGCUGCUUCAAACCCUGGUGGCCCACCCUGGCGUUCUUCUACUCAAUCGAUUGCAACUGAUGACCAAGCCUUAGCUUUGCAUUCUGACGUGAAUUUCUCUGGAGCACCUCUGAGGGCAUGAAUGUUCAUCAAAUCAAUAUUUUUUUGUCAGAUGUUGUAGUUGUGACUACCCUAGUAGCUGUGUAUGGAAAAUGUUGAAGCUCAGAUAAAGUGUAUGAACUGUUUGACUGAAUGCCUUAAAUAAAUGUUGUCUCAAUACAUUUUUAGCAAGUGCAAAUUGGCAGGCAUUAAGCUUAAUUUCAAAGAUCUUAGCGAACCGGAUUGAUUUAUCCAGGUGAGUUUCUAGAAAAUUUCAUGCUUUAAGAUAAAAUGUUCUCUGCAAUUUCUCUCUCUAUUUUCUGAUGACCCAAAUUCGCAGUGUUGCUUGAGUUUGUUUGUUUUGACCACAAUUUUGUCCAUUGUACCUUGCAUCCAUUUGCUGACAAACAAACCUGUGAGGGCAGACUAAUCCUAGUCUGCAAUAGUUCCAUGGCGGCGUGGAUAAGCGGGAAACUCAAAAUUAAAGAGGGGUCACAGCCAAAAUAUCUGACAAAAAGGGCUACUGUCGAAUCUUCCGCAGCUAUUCUGCCAAGAAUAAACUUUAAGGGCUAACUAUAUAAUAGCAUUGCAAAACCCUGUAUGUAUGCAGGGUCUUAAAAAACCAUGUAAUAACAAAGCAAAAAGGCGUAGGAACAUAGAAACUGUGAAAUAGAAAGCCGUUGUUGAACAUCCAGAAUGGACCAGGCGGACUUCAUGAGACUAAGGUUCUCCUCCUCUGUCAAGUGGACAUUAACAACACCGAGCACACGUCCUCUUCCCAGUUGCGUAGGUAGGAUAAGAAAGACCUCUUCUUCAAUUCUGUGAAAACCCUUGGCCAGAACAGAAAUCGGGUGGCUCUUUCUCUGGUUACGUAGCAAACUCCUGGCCAAAUUAGUCAUCGAGUACAUUACAGUAUCUGAAUUUUUAGGGUGAAGGUGUAUUAAAUUCAAUAUGCAAUGGUGGUUUAUUUUCA
Molecule: long non-coding RNA, 1235 nt
Organism: Cryptomeria japonica (Japanese cedar)
Lineage: Eukaryota; Viridiplantae; Streptophyta; Pinopsida; Cupressales; Cupressaceae
Exons: 2
Source: RefSeq, a predicted model, not a curated record